Molecule: ribosomal RNA, 497 nt
Filed under: uncultured bacterium
Lineage: Bacteria
Description: partial 16S ribosomal RNA
Rfam family: Bacterial small subunit ribosomal RNA
Source: RNAcentral
GAUGAACGCUGGCGGCGUGCCUAAUACAUGCAAGUCGAGCGAACAGACGAGGAGCUUGCUCCUCUGACGUUAGCGGCGGACGGGUGAGUAACACGUGGAUAACCUACCUAUAAGACUGGGAUAACUUCGGGAAACCGGAGCUAAUACCGGAUAAUAUAUUGAACCGCAUGGUUCAAUAGUGAAAGACGGUUUUGCUGUCACUUAUAGAUGGAUCCGCGCCGCAUUAGCUAGUUGGUAAGGUAACGGCUUACCAAGGCAACGAUGCGUAGCCGACCUGAGAGGGUGAUCGGCCACACUGGAACUGGGACACGGUCCAGACUCCUACGGGAGGCAGCAGUAGGGAAUCGUCCGCAAUGGGCGAAAGCCUGACGGAGCAACGCCGCGUGAGUGAUGAAGGUCUUCGGAUCGUAAAACUCUGUUAUUAGGGAAGAACAAAUGUGUAAGUAACUAUGCACGCCUUGACGGUACCUAAUCAGAAAGCCACGGCUAACUACGUG